UGAGGAAUAUUGGACAAUGGGCGCAAGCCUGAUCCAGCCAUGCCGCGUGCAGGAUGACGGUCCUAUGGAUUGUAAACUGCUUUUGUACAGGAAGAAACACUCCCUCGUGAGGGAGCUUGACGGUACUGUAAGAAUAAGGAUCGGCUAACUCCGUGCCAGCAGCCGCGGUAAUACGGAGGAUCCAAGCGUUAUCCGGAAUCAUUGGGUUUAAAUGGUCCGUAGGCGGUUUAAUAAGUCAGUGGUGAAAGC
This 249-nucleotide ribosomal RNA is filed under the name uncultured Flavobacterium sp. RNAcentral describes it as "partial 16S ribosomal RNA". It matches the Rfam family "Bacterial small subunit ribosomal RNA", at positions 355 to 601 of the family's 1533-position model. Lineage: Bacteria; Pseudomonadati; Bacteroidota; Flavobacteriia; Flavobacteriales; Flavobacteriaceae. The record is from RNAcentral.